This 96-nucleotide transfer RNA is filed under the name Neomoorella thermoacetica. RNAcentral's name for it is "Moorella thermoacetica tRNA-Val". The record is from RNAcentral. Lineage: Bacteria; Bacillati; Bacillota; Clostridia; Neomoorellales; Neomoorellaceae.
GGUCCAGGAGGGCCGGUAGUUCCUCAUAAUCCACCUUUAUCCUGGCGGCCCCUUCCCGGGCCGCCGCCGGGGUGGUAGCCCCCACCAGGGCUACCA